Molecule: long non-coding RNA, 3420 nt
Organism: Fukomys damarensis (Damara mole-rat)
Lineage: Eukaryota; Metazoa; Chordata; Mammalia; Rodentia; Bathyergidae
Exons: 9
Source: RefSeq, a predicted model, not a curated record
CCUUUGGAAAGAUACCUAGCAGAGGGAUGGCUGGGUCAAAUGGAACCUCCAGUCCAAGCUCUCAAAGAGCAAUUUUUAAUAAACGCAAGUUUAUGAGCUAUGACAAAUUUCCAAGAAAAUCUGAGAAUAUGCAAUUGUAUUUGAAAUCUGCUAAUUUAAACAUUAGCACACUAACCAGUGCAAAAGGACAGGUAGAGACUGCAAGGACUACCAGUUUAUGAUUCCCUGUUUGUGAUAGGAACUUUGCUGGGGUUUUUGUUGUUGUUGUUGAUAAAGACAAAGUGUCUUUAGCCCUGUGACAGUGCAAACUGCAUGCUACAUAUAAUGCAACCGAGUCAAGGCCAAAUCAGAGCCUAGAAUCCAGGUCUUUUGAUUCCUUGUUUAAUAAAUUUUCUCAUUGCUGUGGUUCUGCUAACCUGUUAAGUCUUUAGAAUCUUCAGCUUCUAUGUGUUCUGAGAAAAAGCAAGGGAUGAUAUGGUACCAAGUUCCAAAGAGAGCUAAAAAAUGAGUGAACACACACGAGCAGAACAGAGGGAAUAAUUCCAUUCUAUUGGAGACCAUGCUUACAAAAAGCAAAUAAACAUGGGUUUGAAUGUCCAUCUAAACGAAUCAACAGCCUGGGAACAGAGGAGGUGAGAUAAAGGAUUGGUGUUGGAAGGCAGACACCAUGAGAAUGUCUUAACAGAUCAGAUAUGAGCAGCACUUGUUAUAAGAUUUGGAGAGCAAAGUUUUGUUAAUAAGCAUUUCCUUGUCUGUCAGAAGACUGAUACUAAGGUUGAAGGCAGAAACCGUCUGACUGGGUGAAGGUUGUAUCUAGAUGAAGAGCACAGCAGCAGUACCAGUAAGCCAACAAGAACAAUGCUGAGGACCUACUGUGUGCCAGGCUGGACUAUAGAGGACCCGAAUGACCAAAGAGCCACUCACGUCGACCUCACGGCUCCAGAUCAAGGCAUAGGAGAGACGUGUUUUACCCUCAAGGAAUCAUUGUUCAGUGUUUUGGGCAGUAUGUGUUAGUAGAAAGAAAAAGCCUCAGUCUUCAUGGAGUUUAUGUCAUAAUGUGAGAGAUUAAACAAAAUAGGUCAGACAUACGUGGAAGUAAAAGGUGAGGCUGAAACCAAAAAUACCAUCUCAUACCUUUGAGGGCUCGGUUCUCCCGUUCCAGCCAACUAGCCACAGUUUCCUUUGGAAUAGAUAUGAUUUAGGGAUGUGGUACUACGGAAUAGAAAACCCACGAGACUUGCUUCUGAUUCUUGGUAGAUUACUGAAAUUGUAAAAGAUGUGACAAAUCUCUCUGGAUUUUAAAAACUAAGCAGUAAAGAAAGUAGAAGAACGAAACGAAGACUGUGCCCGGUCUCCCACUGCUGCUUUUGAUGACUCUCAUCGUCCAGAUACCUUUCUGCAGCAAAGUUAUGAUAUCAUCUUGUAGUCCAGGCUGACCAAGGCAGAAAAGAAAGGGUCUCUGCAGUUGUGGAAUCUAAAGUUCUGUCUUUUCAACAAUUUAAGAGAAUAAUAGUCCUCAAAAGACAUUCUUCUGUCUCCCUGUACUCUCCAGGAGAUAAACAGGCACUGAAAAGUAUUUUAUAUUGUUUAAAAAAAGGAAGAGGUUUAAUUUUUUGGUCUUUAAGUAGCUUAUGCUGUAUAUCAACAAAUACCCCCAAAGCUAGUAAAUGUUAAGUGGCUGGCCACGUGCUUAAAAAAGGAAAAACGGGAGACAAACGUCAUUGAACAUUUUGAUAAAUUAUACUGACACAUUUGUAAGAGAAAAUUUUAUGACCUGUAAGGAAGACAAAAAUUUUUAAGUUGUCCUGAAAAAUAACAACUGGGGAGGAAUAAAAAAGUGAGGUGGAACCUGGGAUCUAGGAAGAAUCUGAUAGGAAUAUUGGAGCCUAUACACUGAAGAGACACAGAGCACCGUGGGGGAAAGAGGAAGCGGUAACCUGCACUUUCUGCCUGGCUGCUGAGAAAUGAAGAUGGAAUCUGCAGAGACAGUGAACCCAGGGCACUGUGGAGGCCUUUAGGGAAAUGCACCGGUAGAACAGAGCGGUGGAUGCUGUCUUCUGCAACAGCUGGAGGUCACAGCUAAGAGUAUAUAACUGGAUUCUCAAGAGAGUAUCAUGGACUUGGACCUUUGAGAAAUGCUGGAAUUGUUACAAUUUUGAGAACCCUUAGAGAUGAACUAAAUGCACUUUGCAUUCUGAAAUGGACAGAAGUCUCUGGGUUGGAAUGUUAUGAUUUAAAGAUGAAGUGUUCUCUAAGACUCAUAUAUUAUUGAUCCCCAGUACAACAGUAUUCAAAAGUGGGUCCAAGAGAGGUGAAUGGAUCACAAGGGUGCUUGAUCCAUUAAUUAGUUCAUUAGCUGGAUGGGUUGGUGGGAGGUAGGGCCUCACUGGGGGAAGUAGGUCACUGAGAGUGUGUUUCUGAAAGCUCUUCAAAGAGCUCUUCUGUGGCUCUCUGCCUCUUCUCUUUGUUUCCUGGCCCUUGUGGUGAACACUUUUCUCACCAGGCCCUUCAGGAAUGAUAUUUAUGUCUUAAAGUCAGCUAACCAUGGACUAUUAUACCUUUGAAAUCAUGACUCAAAAUAAGCCUUUUCUCCCUUAUAUAGUAUGUGUUAGACAUUUUGUCCCUACAAUAGGAAGAUGACUAAUGCAUAUAUCAAAACCAUAUCAAUCAAAGCUGACAAAACCAAGUACUUGUAUAUUACACAUUUGAGCUCACCUAUAACCCAAACCAAAGCAUCUACCCAACUGACACAUUAUGUACCAUCUAAUCAAAAGAAAGAAAAAAAUAAUAAAAGAAAAAUCCUUUUCUAAAACCUGCAUAAAAUUGGAAGUGGUGGCUAAAUUAGAUAGAAGUGACUGUUCUAUCCGAUGUUCCAGCAUCAUUGUAGUCACACAGGAACAUGACACUUGUGAAGGAAAACAGAAAAUUUCUGCUUUGAAGAAAGUCUAUGAUAUUCCUGAAAAAGAAUUCAAAAUAAUCAUCUCGUGUAAACUAAGUGAGAUGUAAAGGAACACAGAUAAUACUGAGAAAAUCAGGGUAGGAUAUGAAUAAAAAAUCAUACAGGCAAGUGAAAAUCAAUCAUAAAUCCUGGAGGUAAAAUCUUCAAUCAGUAAAUUAAACAUAGAAUGGAAAGCCUCCACAACAGACUAAAACAUGUAAAAGAAAUAAUGCCUGAACUUUGGAAUUAACACAGUUGGAAACAAAAAUAAACCAGGUAUUGUGGAACAUACACAUAAUCCUACAAUUUUGGGAAGCUUGAGGAUCAUAAAUUUAAGCCCAGCUUGGGAAACUUAGUGAGAACCUGUCUUGGAAAAAAAAAAAAAAAAAAGGAAUCCCAUAAGACUUAUUGGAUACCGAAUGAGAAAUUAGAUUCAUUCAUAGGAAAACGGAUACAUAUUGAGGAUAUACUCCUAAGUGAAA